This is an RNA transcript of Oxyura jamaicensis (ruddy duck), 4007 nucleotides long. It is a transcript of the gene named tubulin delta 1, with no coding region annotated. The transcript has 11 exons. Lineage: Eukaryota; Metazoa; Chordata; Aves; Anseriformes; Anatidae. The record is from RefSeq and is a predicted model, not a curated record.
GCGAGGCGGGCUGUUCGAAGGCGCGGCUCGGGUCGGCCCGGCGGGGAAGCGGCUCCCUCAGGCGGCCAUUCGCGCAUGCGCCGUCGCUGCCCCAGCGCCUCAGCUGGGCGGGGGGGCGCCGAGGGUUAAACACAAGGUGAAUAAGCAUGUCAAUUGUUACAGUCCAGCUCGGACAGUGCGGUAAUCAAAUCGGUCGUGAGGUAUUUAAUGCUAUCUGCAGUGAUGUCCACGGCACACACGGACUGUGUUCCAAGAAGGAGAAUGAAUCCUACCAUGACGCAUGUAAAGAACGCUUUUUCAUCGAGGCAGAAUCUGGAGUACCUGUUGCCCGGGCUGUGCUUGUUGACAUGGAACCUAAAGUAAUCAGCCAAACGUUGUCAAUAGCUGCCAAGUCUGGCUACUGGAAGUACGAUGAUCACUCACACUUCUGUCAGAAGCAAGGGUCUGGGAACAACUGGGCAAAUGGUUACACUGUUCAUGGGCCUAGACACAAAGAAGUAAUCAUGAAUCUGGUACAAAAAGAAGCAGAGAAAUGUGACCGACUGGGUGGAUUUUUCACGAUAAUGAGCAUGGCUGGUGGUACAGGAUCUGGUUUAGGAGCAUUUGUGACCCAGUGCUUAAGAGAUGCUUUUCCAUCUUCGUUUAUACUAAACCAUGUUAUCUGGCCCUACGGCACCGGUGAGGUCAUUGUUCAAAAUUACAACUCUGUUUUGACUCUGUCACAUCUGUAUCAGUCAUCAGAUGCUCUUCUUGUUCACGAAAAUGAUGUCAUCCACAAGAUCUGUGCUCAGCUGAUGCAUAUGAAACAGAUUUCCUUCAGGGAUGUAAAUCAAAUCAUUGCACAUCAGCUGGGGAGUGUUUUCCAGCCCACUUACACAGCAGAAGGCUUACACUAUAGCAGAAACCCAUUAGGAGACUUAAUGGAGGCAUUAGUUCCACAUCCUGAAUUCAAGAUGUUGGGUCUUCGUAACAUACCUCAGAUGCCUGAAAAUUCCCUUGCAUAUAGCACAUUCAGUUGGCCUGGACUCAUCAAACAUCUAAGGCAAAUGCUUAUUGCUAAUGCUAAAAUGGAAGAAGGUAUUGAUUGGCAAGUACAGCCGCCACGUCCAGGCUCCUCCAUUCCCUCCAGCCAUUCCACAAACAAGCUGCUGCAUUUCAAUACUUCCAUUGCCAACCUGGUUAUCCUGAGAGGAAAAGAUACGCACAGUGCAGACUUAGGAAGUUUCCGAGACCCUUCAUUAUAUACGUCAUGGUUAAACCCUCAGGACGCUUUCAGUGCAUGGAAAACACCAAGAGCAUUUAAUAAGUAUGAAAAGUCUGCUUCUUUGGUUAGCAAUAGCCAGUUCCUGCUGAAACCUCUUGACAAUGUUGUACAAAAAGCUUGGAAUAUGUUUGCUUCCAAAGCCUAUGUUCACCAGUACACUAAAUAUGGAAUUGAAGAGGAAGACUUCUUGGACAGCUUCACAGCUCUGGAACAAGUUAUCUCCAGUUACACCGUCCUUUAAUUUUUGAAAUGGUCUCUUCCCAAAAGAAUUCAGCACCGGAAGACCUUCCAUCAGCUUCUUAAAGCCAGGAACAGGAGCACUAAAAUCGCCCCAGGAGCAACUGUUCUUAAAGUAGCUCUGGCACAUGAGAUCUGGAACGGCAAACAAAUUUGUUGACAAAAUUCAAGUAACUGUACAAUUGAACCUGAAGUAAUCUCCUUAUGCAAUAUGCGCGGGUGCACGUGACUGGGUCACAAGAGGUCAUCUGGACUGAAGUGAGACAUGAGGAUCAGGGAAUCAAAUACAAAAUUUGUUUUUAUGGAAAUGUCCUGAAAUUACAGCUAUCAAGAAAGCAGCUGCAGCAAAUGAGAAGCACGGCAGAGGUUUUGUGAACACGGCUAGAUUAGUACGGAGUUGUAAACCUAAAGGUUCAUUUUUCCUUUAAGUCCAGUUUCUUUCAGAGGCAGAAAAGAAAUGCCGAGCACCCAAAAUUGCUGUUUCAAGCCUUUUAACAGAUGGAAUGAACCCAAUAAACACGUAGUCUCAGGAAAAAAGACAAAUGGUCCCUUAAAACUCACAUGGUUUCUACAUGCAAGUGCGAGCCUUAAAUGAAGUAUUUGUGGUUAGGUUGGCAUUAGUUACUUUUGCAAGAGAAUUGCCAGUUUCUUUCCUGACAUAUUGGAAGGAAAAUAGAGGUGCCACAAAGUCACUGCAUACAAACAGAACAAGCUUUGGGAAAAGCAUCUAAUCUUUCAAAAAAAAAAAAAUAUUAGACUUUGUCAAAUGGUUCAAAGCAGAUCUUAACCUUCCCAGGCACACAGGCCACUGGUGGUGCCCAAGUAGCUUGGAGCUCUGGCUGACAUCUGCCAUAUCGAUGCCACCUUCCAAAGAAAAGGCUUUAGAUCUUAAAUUUCAUGUAGAUCGGCCAGUAUUCAAGAAAGUUCACGGGUGACUACCUGCAGACUGAUGUCAGCAAUCCUAACAGUGAUCGCAAUCUUGCAUAAAAUCAGGCUGCACUUCAGUGUUCAUAAAUUUCCCUAGAUUUGAGACGCUUUAAAUCACCUGCAAACACAGUCCUUCUCUCACAGGAUCUCUCACGGAGGAGGACCACAGAAAUCACCAGAGAAGACACCUUUUACACGGACAGAAAAGCAGUUUCUGAGGCCAUCAGGAGAUGGGUGCGGUUUGCAGAGCAGCUAUCAGAGCAGGGAACAAUACACCGAGCUGACAAGUCCUAUCUCCUGCUUUUCAUCAGGAAAUAGCAGCUAGUUUCCUUAUUACCAACUGCCUGGGCAACUCAUUUAAGCUUCUUGGGAAAGCAGAACAAUUAAGCUGGGAGUAACUCCCUUGAAACACGGAAGAUGCAGCAUGCUUACAUACCCAUAUCUGAACAGCUUGUCAAAUGAGGUUUAAAGAAAGGUGACCUUUGGUUUAAUGCUAAUGUAGUCAAUACUCUCUGAAUCAUUCCAUGAGUGAAUAAUAAAAAACCCUCCAGCAGUAAAAAGGGCAAUGUUAAAGGCAAACUAAAACGAAGCCUGGGCCAUUUAACAGGUUCACAAGUGCAUUUCUUAUUUUCUAACACAACCAAACACCACUGUCAGUGAACAAGCUGAAUGACUUCAGAGCCCAACAGCCUGUUCAGUCUGAAUUCAACACAGUCAUACUCAGCUUUUUUAACCAAAAUUCCCUUUGGCUGAAUUCCUGCCGCACACCAAGAAGCCCAGCACAGGUGGCUGGGCAGUUCCUGUCUGCUUUUACCUGGAGGGCCAGAUGUCUGAAGGACAUUUGAUGACCGUUUCUGCAUUUGAGCUCCUUUCACUUUGACAACUGGCCCAAGUUGUCACAGCCUCUCCUCUUCACGCCACUACCAAAAUAUUGCUCUGCUGCCUUUUAUGGAUGCAUCAAUAAGCAAGUGAAAGAGGUAAAGAAAUGCCAGUCGCUAGCAUGUUGUGCCCUCAAUUAGAAACAUGAAUGACAAAGUCACAGCUCAGAGUUUUUCUGCAUAAUCCCUUUAAAAAUGAGUUUGCAAGAGCAUAUGCAAAUAUUUACCCUCUAUCUGGUUCUGAAUACAUUCGCAGGCUGUUUCACAAGGAAAGAGAUUGCUUCACUCCCUGUUUCCUGAAGAGGUUCCAGCAAUCCACCGAGGUUCCAGCAAUUAAACCCUCACCUGGACCAGUCUGGGGUGAGAGCCCAGCAGGAAACCCUCCCUGGCUCGCCCCCCUUCAUGCCCCACUUAAUGCUGCAAUCCAGUCAAGGCUAGGUAAAGUACUUACUGUGUAGUUUUUUCUUCUUCCCCUCCACAGAAAUAAAAAAUAAAAAAAUAUGGAAAAAAAAAACACAGAAAUUUAAAUCCCAGAAGAGCAAUUUCAAUUACUUUGAUUGAUUACGUUGAACCUUUUAACUGCUGAUUACAGAGUAUUUUUUUAACCAUCUGCUUCAAAGAAAACUGCAAUUAUUUUUACCUCCAAGGAACACACCCAAUCACCGCUUCUUUCUACAUCUGCAAUAAAUUUUGUCCACUAA